Molecule: long non-coding RNA, 557 nt
Organism: Galeopterus variegatus (Sunda flying lemur)
Lineage: Eukaryota; Metazoa; Chordata; Mammalia; Dermoptera; Cynocephalidae
Exons: 3
Source: RefSeq, a predicted model, not a curated record
UGUAUAGUCUGUGUCAUGUGUGGAAUUGAUGUUACGUUUACCUUUUUCUUUUUCUUUUUUGGCAGCAUGCUGGUAUGGAGAUCCAAAUCCUUGACCUUGUGUUAUAACACCACGCUGUAACCAACUGAGCUAACUGGCUACCCCUAUGUUCACUUGAUGCGGUUUCCUUCCUGUAUCUUUUUCUACACUGUGGCAUAUGCUUGAGUUUUGAGAAAUGAUCGAGGCCACGUGACUGGAAGAUGACCUUGGGCACCAGCCAAGUACAUUGGCAUGAAUCAAAAUCUUGCAGGGUCCUGAGAUAACAGCAAAGAUGAGAACAGAAACCAGACGAGGCCUUGGCAAGACCCUGUACCUGACCCAUACAAAUGGACCCCUGGGGGCGGUAACAUUCUGGGUGCCCAGGAUUUGAGAACAGGGUAAACUAAGUCAGGGAUGGAGGAAGAAUUUAAGAUUUGCCUUAAUCAUUCAAAUGUUUUAAACACACUGAUCUAUUACACAUUAAAAUAAAUAAAAUAUUCAAAAUAAGUUUAUAAUUAAAUAAAGAAUUUACAACUCAA